This 469-nucleotide ribosomal RNA is filed under the name uncultured bacterium. RNAcentral describes it as "partial 16S ribosomal RNA". It matches the Rfam family "Bacterial small subunit ribosomal RNA", at positions 28 to 506 of the family's 1533-position model. The record is from RNAcentral.
GACGAACGCUGGCGGCGUGCUUAACACAUGCAAGUCGAACGCUGAAGCACCAGCUUGCUGGUGUGGAUGAGUGGCGAACGGGUGAGUAAUACGUGAGUAACCUGCCCUUGACUCUGGGAUAAGCCCGGGAAACUGGGUCUAAUACUGGAUGCUACAUGUCACCGCAUGGUGGUGUGUGGAAAGGGUUUACUGGUCUUGGAUGGGCUCACGGCCUAUCAGCUUGUUGGUGAGGUAAUGGCUCACCAAGGCGACGACGGGUAGCCGGCCUGAGAGGGUGACCGGCCCCACGGGGACUGAACACCGGCCCAACCUCCUCCGGGGGGCAGAAGGGGGGAAUAUUGCACAAUGGGCGAAACCCUGAUGCGGCGCCGCCGGGGGGGGGAUGACGGCCUUCGGUUUUUAACCCUUUUUCGGCGGGGAAGAAGCCAAAAUUGCGGGUACCUGCAGAAAAAGGCCCGGCUAACUAGGU